UACAGAGGGUGCGAGCGUUAAUCGGAAUUACUGGGCGUAAAGGGCGCGUAGGCGGAUGAUUAAGUUGGAUGUGAAAUCCCUGGGCUUAACCUAGGAACUGCAUACAAUACUGGUCGACUAGAGUGCGGUAGAGGGUAGUGGAAUUUCCGGUGUAGCGGUGAAAUGCGUAGAUAUCGGAAGGAACACCAGUGGCGAAGGCGGCUACCUGGACUGACACUGACGCUGAGGCGCGAAAGCGUGGGGAGCAAACAGG
Molecule: ribosomal RNA, 253 nt
Filed under: uncultured bacterium
Lineage: Bacteria
Description: partial 16S ribosomal RNA
Rfam family: Bacterial small subunit ribosomal RNA
Source: RNAcentral